GUUGUACCUGCUGCCCAGUGGGGCAGGGAGGAGAAGCGUGCCAGCUGGGACAAGCCAGGAAAACAAGGUACACUUGACCAUCAAGCUGACCAGCAUCAGUUCGUUGACGUUCAACAUUCCCAGACAUCUCAGAGCUGUUUACAAGUGCCCACGGAUGUCCAUUUGAUUGACUAGUGAACUGCAGCCAAGCCGGAAAAACUCUGCUAAGUGCAUUGAAUGCUCUGGGAUGGAAAUGCAGGAAUUUUAGAGAGAGAGCCAUGAUCUGAGACCUGA
Molecule: long non-coding RNA, 273 nt
Organism: Rhea pennata
Lineage: Eukaryota; Metazoa; Chordata; Aves; Rheiformes; Rheidae
Exons: 3
Source: RefSeq, a predicted model, not a curated record